AACGAACGCUGGCGGCAUGCCUAACACAUGCAAGUCGAACGAGACCUUCGGGUCUAGUGGCGCACGGGUGCGUAACGCGUGGGAACCUGCCCUUAGAUUCGGAAUAACUCCCCGAAAGGGGUGCUAAUACCGGAUAAUGUCUUCGGACCAAAGAUUUAUCGCCUUUGGAUGGGCCCGCGUUGGAUUAGCUAGUUGGUAGGGUAAAGCCUACCAAGGCGACGAUCCAUAGCUGGUCUGAGAGGAUGAUCAGCCACACUGGGACUGAGACACGGCCCAGACUCCUACGGGAGGCAGCAGUGGGGAAUAUGGGACAAUGGGCGAAAGCCUGAUCCAGCAAUGCCGCGUGAGUGAUGAAGGCCUUAGGGUUGUAAAGCUCUUUUACCCGGGAUGAUAAUGACAGUACCGGGAGAAUAAGCUCCGGCUAACUCCGG
This 431-nucleotide ribosomal RNA is filed under the name uncultured bacterium. RNAcentral's name for it is "partial 16S ribosomal RNA". It matches the Rfam family "Bacterial small subunit ribosomal RNA", at positions 29 to 506 of the family's 1533-position model. The record is from RNAcentral.